Small nuclear RNA from Tupaia belangeri (northern tree shrew), 150 nucleotides. Its record names the gene U4. It matches the Rfam family "U4 spliceosomal RNA". From Rfam's summary of the family: U4 small nuclear RNA (U4 snRNA) is a component of the major U2-dependent spliceosome. The structure of U4 snRNA from yeast and human has been reported. The record is from Ensembl. Lineage: Eukaryota; Metazoa; Chordata; Mammalia; Scandentia; Tupaiidae.
AGCUUUGCGCAGUGGCAGUAUCGUAGCCAAUGAGGUUUAUCCGAGGCGCGAUUAUUACUAAUUGAAAACUUUUCCUAAAGUGUUCAUCCUGAUUGCUACUCGGUGACAGUUCUAUGUAUGGCAUUAUUGUCACCCCAUUAAUAAAAAGGG